AUUGAACGCUGGCGGAAUGCUUUACACAUGCAAGUCGAACGGCAGCACGGACUUCGGUCUGGUGGCGAGUGGCGAACGGGUGAGUAAUGUAUCGGAACGUGCCCAGUCGUGGGGGACAACGUAGUGAAAAUUACGCUAAUACCGCGUAUGAUCUAUGGAUGAAAGCGGGGGAUCGCAAGACCUCGCGCGAUUGGAGCGGCCGAUAUCAGAUUAGGUAGUUGGUGGGGUAAAGGCCCACCAAGCCAACGAUCUGUAGCUGGUCUGAGAGGACGACCAGCCACACUGGAACUGAGACACGGUCCAGACUCCUACGGGAGUCAGCAGUGGGGAAUUUUGGACAAUGGGCGAAAGCCUGAUCCAGCCAUUCCGCGUGCAGGAUGAAGGCCCUCGGGUUGUAAACUGCUUUUGUACAGAACGAAAAGGUUUCUACUAAUACUAGGAGCUCAUGACGGUACUGUAAGAAUAAGCACCGGCUAACUACGUGCCAGCCGCCGCAGUAA
This 500-nucleotide ribosomal RNA is filed under the name uncultured bacterium. Its description in RNAcentral is "partial 16S ribosomal RNA". It matches the Rfam family "Bacterial small subunit ribosomal RNA", at positions 30 to 523 of the family's 1533-position model. The record is from RNAcentral.